RNAcentral lists this long non-coding RNA (590 nucleotides) under Mytilus galloprovincialis (Mediterranean mussel). The record is from RNAcentral. Lineage: Eukaryota; Metazoa; Mollusca; Bivalvia; Mytilida; Mytilidae.
GGUACAACUUUUUACAUUUGAGUCUUCCGUGAUCAUACACAUUUAUGUCCAUGUACAUGUAUACGAAAAACUCUACCGUUUGGUAUAUAUAUAUAUAUACAUGUAUAUGCAUAUUUUAGCUCCAAGUCCAAGAACCUCUAUAACACCCGUGAUCACCCCAGGUUUUUAGUCAUGUUCGCGUUUAGCUCAUCCUUUAGUCUAUGUUGUGUUUGUGCAUUGUUGUUUGUAUUGGGGUCUUUUUUUUACCAUGACGUUUUCAGUUUUGUGCUGACUUAUAAGUUUGAAUGUUCCGUUAGUAUAUCCCGCAACCGUUUACAUCUCUAGGCUGAAAAGCUCACCCCCCCAAAAAAAAAUAAUUACGAAGCGAGUGAAAUAUUUUGGGUAUAGCGAAAUAAAUGUCUUGUGGGUCAUAAUUACAGAGUAAUCUUUGAAAUUAUAACAAGCCUCCUGCUGAAGUAAAUAUCAAAACAUUAAGUUAUUAUCUUAUAUGUAAAUCAAUUUCCUUUUUAAUGAGAAAUUAUCACAAACGAUUGUACGGUGUAUAUAUGUGGCUACUCGUAUUGUCUUCAAUAUCUGAAAAAUUCGGUCUG